UACGGAGGGUGCGAGCGUUGUCCGGAUUUAUUGGGUUUAAAGGGUGCGCAGGUGGCCUGGUCAGUCAGUGGUGAAAUGCGGUCGCUCAACGAUCGAACUGCCAUUGAUACUGCCGGGCUUGAGACAAGUGGAGGCUGCCGGAACGGACGGUGUAGCGGUGAAAUGCAUAGAUAUCGUCCAGAACGCCGAUUGCGAAGGCAGGUGGCUACGCUUGGACUGACACUGAGGCACGAAAGCGUGGGGAGCGAACAGG
This 253-nucleotide ribosomal RNA is filed under the name uncultured bacterium. Its description in RNAcentral is "partial 16S ribosomal RNA". It matches the Rfam family "Bacterial small subunit ribosomal RNA", at positions 524 to 776 of the family's 1533-position model. The record is from RNAcentral.